GUGAAGGACAUGAGCUUCCCCUUCCACCAUGAUUAUGGGUUAUAAUCAAGCUAUAAGACUUUAACAGGUGUUCUCAAAUGCAGGUUUCCAAUAGCUUUCAAGAUUGUAAAUUGGAAUAGAGAAAAAAAAGGAAAGGAUUCAUGAAGAACUAAAAUGUUCAUAAAAGUCAAGCAAAACAAGAGUUAACUAAAUGGACUGCACUCAGAAAGUUAAAGCAAACUUUUGGACUUUUGCUUGGAAUAUUUCUGAUCCUCGUUUUGUUUUUCAGAGUUAAGGAAACUUAUUUUGAACUUUUUACAGCCUUUAAUAAUUGAGCAAUGUGUAUUCCUCUGAACAAAAUUUGGAGCACGUUUGUUUCUCUCUGCCUGGAUCCUCUAGAAUUUGGUAACUAUCUGUGAGUACUCUUAACUUAUGGCAAUAUAGUUGUUUGCAUCAGUGCAAUAAGAAUCCAUUUCACUUUUUCAACAGGACACAAUUGGAAAAACUGUUAUUUUAUCAAGGCUUUGACUGGAAGGGUAUGCUGCCUUCUAAGGAGUCAAUCUUGACUUGAAGAGCCAAUAAAAACCCUGUCAGGAGAACUGACCUCAUACCUUGUCAACACAGUCCCUGCACAGGGUUCCUAACCUGUGGUCAGUAAAGAAUGCCACUCUCUAACAGAUCCAGGAGUUCCAAGUUCAUCUUGGGACCUUAAGAGAAAAGGAUCACCCAACUCACAGGUAUUCGAGGAUACAAGCCCAUGGCUGGGCUUUAAAAGGUUUUUAUCUGAGAUUCCUUGAGGAACAGAGUUCCAUCAAAGACAAUCCAAAAGGCCUAUAUGGAAAUAAUUAUUCUUGCUGCACAGCAAAAGAAACUGUCAUCAGAGUGAACAGGCAACCUAUAGAAUGGGAGAAAAUUUUUGCAAUCUAUCCAUCUGACAAAGGGCUAAUAUCCAGAAUCUGCAAAGAACUUAAACAGAUUUUCAAGAAAAAAACAAACAACUCCAUUCAAAAAGUGGGAAAAGGAUAUGAAAAGACACUUCUCAAAAGAAGACAUUUAUGUGAUCAACAAACCUAUGAACAAAAGCUCAUCAUCACUGGCCAUUAGAGAAUGCAAAUCAAAACCACAAUGAGAUACCAUCUGAUGCCAGAUAGAAUGGCAAUCAUUAAAAAUAAGGAAACAAAAGAUGCUGGAGAGGAUAUGGAGAAAUAGAAACGUUUUUAUACUGUUGGUGGGAGUGUAAAUUAGUUCAACUAUUGUGGAAGACAGUGUGGCAAUUCCUCAAGGAUCUAGAACCAGAAAUAUCAUUUGACCCAGCCAUCCCAUUGCUGGAUAUAUACCCAAAGGAUCGUAAAUCAUUCUGCUAUAAAGACACAUUCACACAUAUGUUUAUUGCAGGACUUUUCACAAUAGCAAAGACUUGGAACCAACCCAAAUGUCCAUCAAUGAUGGACUGGAUAAAGAAAAUGUGGCACAUAUACACCAUGGAAUAUUAUGCAGCCAUUAAAAAGGAUGAGUUCGUGUCCUUUGCAGGGAUAUGCAUAAAGCUGGAAACCAUCAUUCUCAGCAAACUAACACAGGAACAGAAAACCAAACACCACAUGUUCUCACUCAUAAGUGGGAGUUGAACAAU
RNAcentral lists this long non-coding RNA (1609 nucleotides) under Homo sapiens (human). RNAcentral describes it as "HSALNT0075689". Lineage: Eukaryota; Metazoa; Chordata; Mammalia; Primates; Hominidae. The record is from RNAcentral.